This 824-nucleotide ribosomal RNA is filed under the name Haplosymploce aurantiaca. RNAcentral's name for it is "12S ribosomal RNA". The stretch from base 406 to 815 matches the Rfam family "Microsporidia small subunit ribosomal RNA", at positions 752 to 1303 of the family's 1311-position model. The record is from RNAcentral. Lineage: Eukaryota; Metazoa; Arthropoda; Insecta; Blattodea; Blattellidae.
GAAAAGUUUUAUUCUUGCUUAAAUAUUUAUUUAGUCAUUAUUGUACAUGUAAGUUUUUGCGUGAGUCUUUUAUAUUUUAAAAAGUAUAGAAGGAGAAGAGUUGGAAGUAAAAUUUUGUUUGAUUCGCAGUAUAAGGUAUUAUGAAUUUAAGAGAUUAUGAUUUAGUAAUUGUUAUUUAAUGUUGAUGAAAUAUGUGCCAGCAGUCGCGGUUAUACAUAGAACAUAAGUAAAUAUUUUCAGUUUAGUAGUUAGUUGUGUAUUUGAAUAGAUUUUGAUUAUUAUUUGGUGGAAUAGUUAAUAUUUGUGGUGUAUUUAAUUGAUAGUAUUGAAUGAAGCUAUGAAAUCUAAUAUAUUUAGACUAGGAUUAGAUACCCUAUUAUUUUGGAUGUAAAAAAUGUUGGACUUGAGUAGUAGUAGUUAGGAUCUUGAAACUUAAAGAAUUUGGCGGUAUUUUAAUCUAUUUAGAGGAAUCUGUCCCGUAAUCGAUAAUCCGCGUUGGACCUUACUUAGUCUGAUUUAAUAUGUAUACCGCUGUUGUUGAAGAUCUUUUUAGGGUGAAAAAUUUUCUUAAGGUUUAAUGGAUAGAUUUUCAGGUCAAGGUGCAGUUAAUGGUUAAGUGGAGAUGGAUUACAAUAUUUAUGAAUAUAUGGAUUAUUAAUUGUAAUAUAUUGAUAUGAAGGUGGAUUUAAUAGUAAUGUUGUGUAGAUUGUCAAUAUGAUUGUAGCUCUAGAGUAUGCACACAUCGCCCGUCGCUCUCAUUAUUAUUUAAGAUGAGAUAAGUCGUAACAGAGUAGUUGUACCGGAAGGUGUAGCUAGAAUGAAGA